Molecule: small nuclear RNA, 107 nt
Organism: Suncus etruscus (white-toothed pygmy shrew)
Lineage: Eukaryota; Metazoa; Chordata; Mammalia; Eulipotyphla; Soricidae
Source: RefSeq, a predicted model, not a curated record
AUGCUCACUUUGAUAGCACAUAUACACAAAUUGGAACUAGACAAGAAAGAUUAGCAUGGCCCCUGUAUAAAGAUGGCAUAGAAAUUCAUGAAGCAUUCCAUAUUGUU